This is a small nucleolar RNA of Andrographis paniculata, 156 nucleotides long. RefSeq annotates it as small nucleolar RNA snoR135. The transcript has a single exon. The record is from RefSeq and is a predicted model, not a curated record. NCBI's taxonomy places the organism in Eukaryota, Viridiplantae, Streptophyta, Magnoliopsida, Lamiales, Acanthaceae.
GAUGCAGAGAUUGUGUGUAUCGACGUUGUGCGAUUUCGGUCAAAAUGCACAAUGCUCGAAAGAGUUCUCUGCAAUAUCAAUGUUCUCAAAGGAAGAUGGGCAGUUGUAUUUCAACUUUUUCAUUGAAAUCGUUCAACAAUCAUCUUCCUUACAUAU